This 72-nucleotide transfer RNA is filed under the name Chloroflexota bacterium. RNAcentral describes it as "Chloroflexi bacterium (anaerobic digester metagenome) tRNA-His". It matches the Rfam family "tRNA". Rfam says of the family: Transfer RNA (tRNA) molecules are approximately 80 nucleotides in length. Their secondary structure includes four short double-helical elements and three loops (D, anti-codon, and T loops). The record is from RNAcentral. Lineage: Bacteria; Bacillati; Chloroflexota.
GUGGACAUAGCUCAAUGGCAGAGCACUAGACUGUGGAUCUAGUGGUUGCGGGUUCAAAUCCCGUUGUCCACC